GAGGGUAUAGCUCAGUGGUAGAACACGUGCUUAGCAUGCAGAAGAUUCUGGGUUCAAUCCCCAAUACCUCCA
RNAcentral lists this transfer RNA (72 nucleotides) under Camelus bactrianus (Bactrian camel). It matches the Rfam family "tRNA". Rfam says of the family: Transfer RNA (tRNA) molecules are approximately 80 nucleotides in length. Their secondary structure includes four short double-helical elements and three loops (D, anti-codon, and T loops). Further hydrogen bonds mediate the characteristic L-shaped molecular structure. tRNAs have two regions of fundamental functional importance: the anti-codon, which is responsible for specific mRNA codon recognition, and the 3' end, to which the tRNAs corresponding amino acid is attached (by aminoacyl-tRNA synthetases). tRNAs cope with the degeneracy of the genetic code in two manners: having more than one tRNA (with a specific anti-codon) for a particular amino acid; and 'wobble' base-pairing, i.e. permitting non-standard base-pairing at the 3rd anti-codon position. Lineage: Eukaryota; Metazoa; Chordata; Mammalia; Artiodactyla; Camelidae. RNAcentral also lists the same sequence under 2 other names. The record is from Rfam by way of RNAcentral.